AUAGGAAAUGAAUAAGGAGAAU
RNAcentral lists this microRNA (22 nucleotides) under Strongyloides ratti. Its description in RNAcentral is "str-miR-8365-3p". Lineage: Eukaryota; Metazoa; Nematoda; Chromadorea; Rhabditida; Strongyloididae. The record is from miRBase by way of RNAcentral.